GAUGAACGCUGGCGGUGUGCCUAAUACAUGCAAGUCGAGCGAACAGACGAGGAGCUUACUCCUCUGACGUUAGCGGCGGACGGGUGAGUAACACGUGGAUAACCUACCUAUAAGACUGGGAUAACUUCGGGAAACCGGAGCUAAUACCGGAUAACAUGUUGAACCGCAUGGUUCAACAGUGAAAGACGGUCUUGCUGUCACUUAUAGAUGGAUCCGCGUCGCAUUAGCUAGUUGGUAAGGUAACGGCUUACCAAGGCAACGAUGCGUAGCCGACCUGAGAGGGUGAUCGGCCACACUGGAACUGAGACACGGUCCAGACUCCUACGGGAGGCAGCAGUAGGGAAUCUUCCGCAAUGGGCGAAAGCCUGACGGAGCAACGCCGCGUGAGUGAAGAAGGUCUUCGGAUCGUAAAACUCUGUUAUUAGGGAAGAACAAAUGUGUAAGUAACUAUGCACGUCUUGACGGUACCUAAUCAGAAAACCACGGCUAACUACGU
This 496-nucleotide ribosomal RNA is filed under the name uncultured bacterium. Its description in RNAcentral is "partial 16S ribosomal RNA". It matches the Rfam family "Bacterial small subunit ribosomal RNA", at positions 28 to 506 of the family's 1533-position model. The record is from RNAcentral.